CCUACGGGAGGCAGCAGUGAGGAAUAUUGGUCAAUGGACGAGAGUCUGAACCAGCCAAGUGGCGUGAAGGAUGACUGCCCUAUGGGUUGUAAACUUCUUUUAUAUGGGAAUAAAAUGUUCCACGUGUGGGAUUUUGUAUGUACCAUAUGAAUAAGGAUCGGCUAACUCCGUGCCAGCAGCCGCGGUAAUACGGAGGAUCCGAGCGUUAUCCGGAUUUAUUGGGUUUAAAGGGAGCGUAGGUGGAGUGUUAAGUCAGUUGUGAAAGUUUGCGGCUCAACCGUAAAAUUGCAGUUGAAACUGGCAGUCUUGAGUACAGUAGAGGUGGGCGGAAUUCGUGGUGUAGCGGUGAAAUGCUUAGAUAUCACGAAGAACUCCGAUUGCGAAGGCAGUUCACUGGACUGCAACUGACACUGAGGCUCGAAAGUGUGGGUAUCAAACAGGAUUAGAUACCCGAGUAGUC
RNAcentral lists this ribosomal RNA (460 nucleotides) under uncultured bacterium. Its description in RNAcentral is "partial 16S ribosomal RNA". It matches the Rfam family "Bacterial small subunit ribosomal RNA", at positions 338 to 795 of the family's 1533-position model. The record is from RNAcentral.